UACGAAGGGGGCUAGUGUUGUUCGGAAUUACUGGGCGUAAAGGGCGCGUAGGCGGUACUUCAAGUCAGGCGUGAAAGCCCCGGGCUCAACCUGGGAACCGCGCUUGAGACUGGAGAACUAGAGUUCGGGAGAGGAUGGUGGAAUUCCCAGUGUAGAGGUGAAAUUCGUAGAUAUUGGGAAGAACACCGAUGGCGAAGGCAGCCAUCUGGACCGACACUGACGCUGAGGCGCGAAAGCGUGGGGAGCAAACAGG
RNAcentral lists this ribosomal RNA (253 nucleotides) under uncultured bacterium. Its description in RNAcentral is "partial 16S ribosomal RNA". It matches the Rfam family "Bacterial small subunit ribosomal RNA", at positions 524 to 776 of the family's 1533-position model. The record is from RNAcentral.